This 173-nucleotide unclassified non-coding RNA is filed under the name uncultured Herpotrichiellaceae. RNAcentral's name for it is "sequence contains ITS2". Lineage: Eukaryota; Fungi; Ascomycota; Eurotiomycetes; Chaetothyriales; Herpotrichiellaceae. The record is from RNAcentral.
UCACCCCUCAAGCCCCGUGCUUGGUGUUGGAUGGCCGGUCGAGCGAUCGACCCCUCCGAAAGACAAUGACGGCGGCCUGUGGUUCCCCCGGUACACUGAGCUUCUUACCGAGCACGUACUGGACAAGGGCACCCGGGACCCGGUCCUCUCCUUUAGCUAGGAAACUUUUUAAU